Non-coding RNA from Pelobates cultripes (western spadefoot toad), 254 nucleotides. NCBI's taxonomy places the organism in Eukaryota, Metazoa, Chordata, Amphibia, Anura, Pelobatidae. The record is from the annotation of a GenBank genome assembly.
GGGAAUAAGAAGAAGGGGCAGCUCUAUAGGACAGGGGCCAAGACAGGGAGCUCUUUCACACUACGUGCGCACACACACACAAUGCAUCCCUAUACAUACACAGAAACACAACAUGCUUCCCUUACACACAGAGAAACACACAAUGCAUCCAUUACACACACACACACAAUGCAACCCUUACACACAAAGACAAUGCAUCCUUUGUACACAUACACAGAAACAGACAAUGCAAACCCGUACACAUGCAUGCAAAC